GGGGAAUAUUGCACAAUGGGGGAAACCCUGAUGCAGCGACGCCGCGUGAGUGAAGAAGUAUUUCGGUAUGUAAAGCUCUAUCAGCAGGGACGAAAGGGAGGCAACUCCUGUGACGGUACCUGACUAAGAAGCCCCGGCUAACUACGUGCCAGCAGCCGCGGUAAUACGUAGGGGGCAAGCGUUAUCCGGAUUUACUGGGUGUAAAGGGAGCGUAGACGGUGAUGUAAGUCAGAUGUGAAAGCCCGGGGCUCAACCCCGGGACUGCAUUUGAAACUAUGUUGCUGGAGUGCAGGAGAGGUAAGUGGAAUUCCUAGUGUAGCGGUGAAAUGCGUAGAUAUUAGGAGGAACACCAGUGGCGAAGGCGGCUUACUGGACUGUAACUGACGUUGAGGCUCGAAAGCGUGGGGAGCAAAC
Molecule: ribosomal RNA, 414 nt
Filed under: uncultured bacterium
Lineage: Bacteria
Description: bacterial SSU rRNA
Rfam family: Bacterial small subunit ribosomal RNA
Source: RNAcentral